AAAAGGAGGAGAGAAGGGGAAAGAAGCAUCUGAACGGCUAAAUUGUGCCAGCAGCGCUGAGAGCGAGAGUCACAAGACCUUGCUGAGGACGUGGUUGUCUGUCCUUCCCCCGGGGAUGCCGUUGACUGUGGCCGUCUCAGGCUCGCGUGGCUUCUCUCUGCCCGGCCUCACCGUCCUUGCAGCGCGGGGGCGAAAAGGGACACACAGAGCCCUUCCCGGCUGUGGACAGGAGCUGCCUCGGCUGAAGCUGGAGACACCAACGAAAGGUGGAGGAUGGCCUAGAGUCUGGAGCUGCAGAAGAGGCAGGGAGGAGAGAAGGGGAAACAAGCAUCUGAACGGCUAAAUUGUGCCAGCAGCGCUGAGAGCGAGAGUCACGAGACCUUGCUGCGGACGUGGUUGUCUGUCCUUCCCCCGGGGAUGCCGUUGACUGUGGCCGUCUCAGGCUCGCGUGGCUUCUCUCUGCCCGGCCUCGCCGUCCUUGCAGCGCGGGGCUCAAAAGGGAUAGACAAAGCCCUUCCCAGCUGUGGACAGGACCUGCCUCGGCUGAAGCUGGAGACACCAACGAAAGGUGGAGGAUGGCCUAGAGUCUGGAGCUGCAGAAGAGGCAGGGAGGAGAGAAGGGGAAACAAGCAUCUGAACGGCUAAAUUGUGCCAGCAGCGCUGAGAGCGAGAGUCACGAGACCUUGCUGAGGACGUGGUUGUCUGUCCUUCCCCCGGGGAUGCCGUUGACUGUGGCCGUCUCAGGCUCGCGUGGCUUCUCUCUGCCCGGCCUCACCGUCCUUGCAGCGCGGGGGCGAAAAGGGACACACAGAGCCCUUCCCGGCUGUGGACAGGAGCUGCCUCGGCUGAAGCUGGAGACACCAACGAAAGGUGGAGGAUGGCCUAGAGUCUGGAGCUGCAGAAGAGGCAGGGAGGAGAGAAGGGGAAACAAGCAUCUGAACGGCUAAAUUGUGCCAGCAGCGCUGAGAGCGAGAGUCACGCCCGUCGCUCCAGGAGCCAGGCGACGGACGGUCCCUUCCCUGCCAAACCAGGACAAGCGUGUGCCGUGGUUUAGCCCCAGCUGGCAACUCUGCACCAGGGAGUUGC
Non-coding RNA from Phalacrocorax carbo (great cormorant), 1086 nucleotides. The record is from RefSeq and is a predicted model, not a curated record. Lineage: Eukaryota; Metazoa; Chordata; Aves; Suliformes; Phalacrocoracidae.